GCCCUUAGAGUUUGAUCCUGGCUCAGAACGAACGCUGGCGGCAGGCCUAACACAUGCAAGUCGAACGAUAAGUCGCGGUUCGCCGCGACCCAAAGUGGCAGACGGGUGAGGAACAUGUGGGAAUCUACCCAAAGGCGGGGAACAACCCAGAGAAAUCAGGGCUAAUACCCCAUACGCCCAAUCCUUAAUCAGAUUGGGGAAAGAUCUUUCGCCUUCGGAGGAGCCCGCACGGGAUUAGUUAGUUGGCGCGAUAAUAGCGCACCAAGACCAUGAUCCCUAGCUGGUCUGAGAGGAUGAUCAGCCACACUGGGACUGAGACACGGCCCAGACUCCUACGGGAGGCAGCAGUGGGGAAUCUUGCGCAAUGGGCGAAAGCCUGACGCAGCCAUGCCGCGUGAGUGAAGAAGGCCCUCGGGUUGUAAAACUCUUUCGCCGGGUGACGAUCGUGACGGUAACCGGGUAAAGAAGCCCCGGCCAACUCCGUGCCAGCCAGGCCGCGGUAAGACCGAGGGGGCUAGCGUUGUUUCGGAAUUACCUGGGGCGUAAAGGGGCGUGCUAGGCCGGAAUGGGGAUCAAGUCCCGGGGGUUGGAAAAGCCCCGGGGGG
Molecule: ribosomal RNA, 605 nt
Filed under: uncultured Alphaproteobacteria bacterium
Lineage: Bacteria; Pseudomonadati; Pseudomonadota; Alphaproteobacteria
Description: bacterial SSU rRNA
Rfam family: Bacterial small subunit ribosomal RNA
Source: RNAcentral